UACGUAGGGGGCAAGCGUUGUCCGGAAUCAUUGGGCGUAAAGCGGGUGUAGGCGGCCAGGUAAGUCCGUUCUGAAAGCCCGGGGCUCAACCCCGGGAGGCGGAUGGAUACUGCUUGGCUCGAGUCCGGAAGAGGCGAGUGGAAUUCCCGGUGUAGCGGUGAAAUGCGCAGAUAUCGGGAGGAACACCAAUGGCGAAGGCAGCUCGCUGGGACGGUACUGACGCUGAGACGCGAAAGCGUGGGGAGCAAACAGG
Molecule: ribosomal RNA, 253 nt
Filed under: uncultured bacterium
Lineage: Bacteria
Description: partial 16S ribosomal RNA
Rfam family: Bacterial small subunit ribosomal RNA
Source: RNAcentral